Non-coding RNA from Notechis scutatus (mainland tiger snake), 1789 nucleotides. The record is from RefSeq and is a predicted model, not a curated record. Lineage: Eukaryota; Metazoa; Chordata; Lepidosauria; Squamata; Elapidae.
AUGGAUCUAAAUUGUGAAUGAAGAAAUGGAAGUAAGUGUUAUCCUCAGGGAAAUCUGCUUGCACUUUAAAGUAAAAUGUAGCAGCGAAACUGCAACCUCACAGCCUAGAAUCUGCUGCCUGCUAUCCUGAUGGCAUCCCUUUCGAACUUGGGAGAGAACCAGAAAAGGAAGAUCUACCGUAGUUUAAAGCUAUUAAUUGCAGCUAUAAAGCUGGAUUGAAAAGAUCAUUCCUUUUCAACUACCUUGGCAGGGCUGGAAAGAAGGAAUAUACCAACCCAAUGAUGUUGUGGCAGAAAAUCUGUAAAGAACGUACACGAAGCAAGAGCUUAAUCAUUUGGAGGUCUGAGCAUCAAAGCUUUAAUCUUCUGUUCAAUGCAAGCUUUCCGAUAGGCCAGGUUUGCAACUGCAAUUCCAUUUUCGCACCUCAGAUGAUGCACAUCCCACUCUAUAUUAUGCUCACCCAAGCAGACUGCUCUUGAAACUUUUUUUAAAUGUAAAAUUUGAAUGCUGCUGCACAGUUAAUUCCAAAAUAUUAAAAUGGAAGAAGCAACAUUCAAAAUGAUUGUCGGCCUAAGGCUGUUGCUACCUUUUCUAAGUUCACCACCUCAGAAGAACCUCCUGGAGGUCUUAGGCUGUACCCCAACCUAUUCCUGGCAAGAAAGUUGGAGUUGUAAGCAUGAGAGAGAGAAAGGGAGGGAGGAAGAGAGAGACAGAGAGACAGAGAGAAGGGGAGAGGGAGAGGGAGAGAAUAUGAAUGAAUUUCUUCCAGCAUUUCUUCCAGCAAUGGGAAUCUCAUCAGGAUCUGUUUGGGUGCAAACGGCUGCAGCGUAGCAGCAAUAAUUGCUGUGGGCCUCUGUGGGCAACCCUUGGGGAUAAGAAAGAAGCGGGAAGGCAGAAUCUGCUCUGCUAUUCACAGUCAAGCAGCUUAUACAACCCUGGCUGGCCAGAUUGAGUCUUUCCACAGCCAGCUCAGCCUCUGACGUACUACAGACUGUAGAGCAGGGGUGUGUCCAACCUGGGCAACUUAAGGCUUGUGGACUUCAACUCCCAGAAUUCCCCAGCCAGCAUGAGAGUUGGGAGUUGAAGUCCACAAGUCUUAAGGUUGCCUCGGUUGGGCAUCCCUGCUCUAGAACAGGGUCUGAUGUACUUCAGACGAGCAGGCUACCUUACACUACAGCGUACGUAUAAUUCCUCCACAUGCAGUUCAAAGUGCUGGUUGUUAUCAUUAAAACCCUUCAUGGCAUCGGGCCUGGUUAUCUAAAGCAGGGGUCUCCAGCCUUAGCAACAUUAAGACUUGUGGAAUUCAACUUUCAAAGUUCCUCAACCAGCUUUGCAAAGCUGGCUAAGACACUUUGGAAUUUGAAGUCCGCAAGUCUUAAAUUUGCCAAGGUUGGAGACCCCUGAUCUAAAGGACCAUCAGACUUCUGUGGCUUGCAUCCAGCCUGGAUAAGUGGACAGAGUGACCAUGUUCCAGGUCAUCCAUUAAGCAGUAUCUUCAACAUAUCUUCUCCAUCACAGCGCUUGACUAUGGAACACCUUUUCUCUCUCCUCUACUUUAGCCAUGUUCAAAAAGUCCUCUGAAAACCUGACACUUUCUCCAGGGUUUGGGUUAGAGGCAGUACCAGCCUCUAUGUGUUUGAUUGUCUUUUAAUGGUUAUUUUCCUUCUGGCAUUGCGGGUGAGGGGUAGGGUUCACUUGUAUUAUAUGAUUGCUUUUAUUGUACACUUCCAGAGUCAUCGUAGAGUUGAGCAGCUGUACACGUUUCUAAAAUAAAUAAAAAUGAAACACU